CACCCAGGUGAAGCGCUUCCUUCUCAGCGUGGAAGCACGCCACAGACUGACAGGUGGAUCUAUUGGCUCGUGCCCCCUUCACCCCCCUCCCAUGAGAAAGGAAGCCGCGCCGUCAGACAGCCCUGAGCGCGUGCGUGGCUUCGUCUACAGAACCUGAAAAACAGGUGCGGCAGGUCACUCCGCACGCAUGUCUGCGCCUGCGGGGGAGGGAAUGUAAGCAGAGGAAAGGUCCGCGCGAGACGGUGAGUGCACGCGCUCCAGCCUCCACGGACGUCUUGGAAACCCCGCGGUUUGGGGGGAGGGGGGUGUCAGCGACCCAGCUGAACGUGGCCCCUGGUGAGGAAGAGGAAGAUUUCCUGUGAGUGUUUGGGACAAAGUUCUGGUGAAGGAACAGAAAGUGGAACGAACACACCUGAACUCUCAGGUGUGUCAGAGAACCAGAACUCUCCUUCCUGAAACAGCUGAGGAGCACUUCAGUUUACCUCCACCUGCCUGAUGUUGUCACUAUUCUGAACAGUGUUGCGUUCAAGAGCGGUUCGAAGACUUCAUUAUCAGUGUCAGCAUGGUGUUGGCCUCGCCCUCCUCGCCGGCGUUCACCUGUGCAGCGGCUUCCGUGCUCACGCUGACGUUACUGCUGCUGCUGUGCAUCAUCCGGAAGAAAAGGAAAAUGGAGGGAACAUACCAGCCAAGCGCGGAGGAGAAGAAGCAGUCGCGGCCGGAGAGGCCGGGCCUACCGCUACCCAAAGAGGAACGGCUGAUCUGAGGACUUCCUGUUACUGAGGGAGGGGCUGCCGGGCUCCAACCUCUAAAUGCUAUAAUGUACAGUAUUUAGUUUAUGAAACUGAGGAUCAUCUGUGAUGGUAUUACAUGUAUGCUGAUGUUCAUGUCAGAUUUGUGAAUGGAAAAAUGUAUACUCAAUAAAAUGUCUUAUAUUCUCUGAAGAUUCUGUUUAUAAACCAGUAAACACUUCCAUAAAACACAAUAUAAAUAUAUGUUUUGUUUUAAUCUCAAACAGAAAAACAAACUGUUAUUAAAUGCUUCACUUAGAUCCAUCCAUCUGUAAGAAGAGUUCUAACUGGAGCCACAUGCUGAAAUGUGCUCGCUCUGAAGUUGAUUAUGUCUGAAGUCUUGAAUGUUAUUCUGCCUCUCUAUACAAAUCUAUCAUAGACAGCUUCAGUACACACUUACUCUAAAGAUAUGUCAUUUUCUGUGUUCGGAGACAUUUACUGCCCUGCACUUUUCAGUGUUCUGCAGAUUACUCUGUGAUCUUACUGUUCUUCCCUGUAAUAAAACAAGACCAAACUGUG
Molecule: long non-coding RNA, 1307 nt
Organism: Oryzias melastigma (Indian medaka)
Lineage: Eukaryota; Metazoa; Chordata; Actinopteri; Beloniformes; Adrianichthyidae
Exons: 2
Source: RefSeq, a predicted model, not a curated record